This 460-nucleotide ribosomal RNA is filed under the name uncultured bacterium. RNAcentral describes it as "partial 16S ribosomal RNA". It matches the Rfam family "Bacterial small subunit ribosomal RNA", at positions 338 to 795 of the family's 1533-position model. The record is from RNAcentral.
GCUACGGGAGGCAGCAGUGAGGAAUAUUGGUCAAUGGGCGCGAGCCUGAACCAGCCAAGUAGCGUGAAGGAUGAAUGCCCUACGGGUUGUAAACUUCUUUUAUAAAGGAAUAAAGUGAGGCACGUGUGCCUUUUUGUAUGUACUUUAUGAAUAAGGAUCGGCUAACUCCGUGCCAGCAGCCGCGGUAAUACGGAGGAGCCGAGCGUUAUCCGGAUUUAUUGGGUUGAAAGGGAGCGUAGAUGGGUUGUUCAGUCAGUUGUGACAGUUUGCGGCUCAACCGUAAAAUUGCACUUGAUACUGGCAGCCUUGAGUACAGUUGAGGUAGGCGGAAUUCGUGUUGUAGCGGUGAAAUGCUUAGAUAUCACGAAGAACUCCGAUUGCGACGGCAGCUUACUAAACUGCCCCUGACAUUGAUGCUCGAAAGUGUGGGUAUCAAACAGGAUUAGAUACCCCAGUAGUC